Molecule: ribosomal RNA, 336 nt
Filed under: Triticum aestivum (bread wheat)
Lineage: Eukaryota; Viridiplantae; Streptophyta; Magnoliopsida; Poales; Poaceae
Description: partial small subunit ribosomal RNA
Source: RNAcentral
AUGUCAUGGCUUUUACAACUGAAAGAGCAUAGAGCAUCUCUAGCCGAGCCCCCAGGAUUGCCCCCAGGCCACUUUUUUAGCACCGAUGCUCAAAAAAAGUCCCAGCCGCACCCACAAGACCCUACUUUUCGUCGGAUUUGGUCAAAAAUACAACUGGCGAUCCGAGGGCAAACACAAGGCAUUCUGGGGCUGUUGGGGGAGGAGAGAGAGAAGAUUUUGCAUCUCAUUGGCCCACAGUCAGCCUCCCACUCAUCUCUCCAUACUUUUCCUCCUAGGCCCCACCCAAGUGCUUCUCCUCUCCCCCACAACGAGAUGCAUUCUGGUCGCAAAGUAUAG